GAUGAAGAACGUAGCGAAAUGCGAUAAGUAAUGUGAAUUGCAGAAUUCAGUGAAUCAUCGAAUCUUUGAACGCACCUUGCGCUCCUUGGUAUUCCUUGGAGCAUGUCUGUUUGAGUAUCAUGAGCAAAUCUCAAAGUCGAUCCUUUUGUUAAUUCAAUUGGUUUGCUUUGGACUUGGAGGCCUUGCAGAUUUCACCGUCUGCUCCUCUUAAAUGCAUUAGCUGGAUCUCAGUAUUAUGCUUGGUUCCACUCGGCGUGAUAAGUAUCACUCGCUGAGGACACUGUAAAAGGUGGCCAGGAAAAUACUGAUCGAACCGCUUCUAACGGUCUAUUAACUUAGACAAUUACCCUUAAGUUUGAUCUCAAAUCAGGUAGGACUACCCGCUGAACUUAAGCAUAUCAAUAAGCGGAGGA
RNAcentral lists this unclassified non-coding RNA (413 nucleotides) under soil metagenome. RNAcentral's name for it is "partial contains 5.8S ribosomal RNA, internal transcribed spacer 2, and large subunit ribosomal RNA". The stretch from base 1 to 120 matches the Rfam family "5.8S ribosomal RNA", at positions 35 to 154 of the family's 154-position model. The record is from RNAcentral.